Non-coding RNA from Vicugna pacos (alpaca), 93 nucleotides. The record is from RefSeq and is a predicted model, not a curated record. Lineage: Eukaryota; Metazoa; Chordata; Mammalia; Artiodactyla; Camelidae.
GCCUGCUUCUAGCCACCAUGCCCUCUGCUUCUGGAGAAGGCACGAACGCCUCGGCCAGGGCGGAGCUCCUGGCCCAGGAUGGGAAGAACACAC